UGCCAGCAGCCGCGGUAAUACGGAGGGAGCUAGCGUUGCUCGGAAUUACUGGGCGUAAAGAGCAUGUAGGCGGAUUGUAUAGUCAGGCGUGAAAGCCCCAGGCUCAACCUGGGAACUGCGUUUGAUACUUACAGUCUUGAGUCCGAGAGAGGGUGGUGGAAUUCCCAGUGUAGAGGUGAAAUUCGUAGAUAUUGGGAAGAACACCAGUGGCGAAGGCGGCCACCUGGCUCGGUACUGACGCUGAGAUGCGAAAGCGUGGGGAGCAAACAGGAUUAGAUA
Molecule: ribosomal RNA, 279 nt
Filed under: uncultured bacterium
Lineage: Bacteria
Description: partial 16S ribosomal RNA
Rfam family: Bacterial small subunit ribosomal RNA
Source: RNAcentral